This is a non-coding RNA of Phascolarctos cinereus (koala), 201 nucleotides long. NCBI's taxonomy places the organism in Eukaryota, Metazoa, Chordata, Mammalia, Diprotodontia, Phascolarctidae. The record is from RefSeq and is a predicted model, not a curated record.
CACUGUGAUAGUCAAGGUGUGCUGGAAUAAGGAGAUGAAGAACAGCUGGCCACCAUCUGCUACAAAGCUAGCCACUUCCUGCACACGCCCUGUCCUCCUCCUUCUCAGCCCACAUCCUGGAGGAGCUACCAUCAUGCCAUGUGCAAAGCCAGGACAAGCCACCUGAGACAAAGUUCAAAGAUGUACCUCCCAUGGUGUACC